Molecule: ribosomal RNA, 326 nt
Filed under: uncultured bacterium
Lineage: Bacteria
Description: bacterial SSU rRNA
Rfam family: Bacterial small subunit ribosomal RNA
Source: RNAcentral
AACGAACGCUGGCGGCAGGCCUAACACAUGCAAGUCGAACGCUCCGCAAGGGGAGUGGCGCACGGGUGAGUAACACGUGGGAACCUACCUUCUGGUACGGAACAACCAAGGGAAACUUUGGCUAAGACCGUAUACGACCUCCGGGUGAAAGAUUGAUCGCCGGAAGAGGGGCCCGCGUCCGAUUAGGUAGUUGGUGAGGUAACGGCUCACCAAGCCUUCGAUCGGUAGCUGGUCUGAGAGGAUGACCAGCCACACUGGGACUGAGACACGGCCCAGACUCCUACGGAGGCAGCAGUGGGGAAUAUUGGACAAUGGGCGCAAGCCUG